Molecule: transfer RNA, 72 nt
Filed under: Notamacropus eugenii (tammar wallaby)
Lineage: Eukaryota; Metazoa; Chordata; Mammalia; Diprotodontia; Macropodidae
Description: tRNA-Trp (CCA) (tRNA-Trp-CCA-7-1)
Rfam family: tRNA
About the family: Transfer RNA (tRNA) molecules are approximately 80 nucleotides in length. Their secondary structure includes four short double-helical elements and three loops (D, anti-codon, and T loops).
Source: RNAcentral
GACCCUGUGGCGCAAGGGUAGCGCUUCUGACUCCAAGUCAGGCGGUUGCGUGUUCGAGUCACGCCAGGGUCA